This 306-nucleotide ribosomal RNA is filed under the name uncultured bacterium. RNAcentral's name for it is "partial 16S ribosomal RNA". It matches the Rfam family "Bacterial small subunit ribosomal RNA", at positions 507 to 807 of the family's 1533-position model. The record is from RNAcentral.
GACAGCAGCAGCCGCGGUAAUACGAAGGGUGCAAGCGUUACUCGGAAUUACUGGGCGUAAAGCGUGCGUAGGUGGUGGUUUAAGUCCGUUGUGAAAGCCCUGGGCUCAACCUGGGAAUUGCAGUGGAUACUGGGUCACUAGAGUGUGGUAGAGGAUAGUGGAAUUUCCGGUGUAGCAGUGAAAUGCGUAGAGAUCGGAAGGAACAUCUGUGGCGAAGGCGACUAUCUGGGCCAACACUGACACUGAGGCACGAAAGCGUGGGGAGCAAACAGGAUUAGAUACCCCUGUAGUCCCUGUCUCUUAUAC